UACGGAGGGUGCGAGCGUUGUCCGGAAUCAUCGGGCGUAAAGGGCGCGUAGGUGGCCCGGUCAGUUCGUGGUGAAAGCGCGGGGCUCAACCCUGCGUCGGCCAUGAAUACUGCCGCGGCUGGAGCACUGUAGAGGCAGGCGGAAUUCCGGGUGUAGCGGUGGAAUGCGUAGAGAUCCGGAAGAACACCGGUGGCGAAGGCGGCCUGCUGGGCAGUUGCUGACACUGAGGCGCGACAGCGUGGGGAGCAAACAGG
This 254-nucleotide ribosomal RNA is filed under the name uncultured bacterium. Its description in RNAcentral is "partial 16S ribosomal RNA". It matches the Rfam family "Bacterial small subunit ribosomal RNA", at positions 524 to 776 of the family's 1533-position model. The record is from RNAcentral.